Molecule: ribosomal RNA, 254 nt
Filed under: uncultured bacterium
Lineage: Bacteria
Description: partial 16S ribosomal RNA
Rfam family: Bacterial small subunit ribosomal RNA
Source: RNAcentral
UACGGGGGGAGCAAGCGUUGUUCGGAUUUACUGGGCGUAAAGGGCGCGUAGGCGGCCACGACAAGUCACUUGUGAAAUCUCCGGGCUUAACUCGGAAAGGUCAAGUGAUACUGUCGGGCUAGAGUGCAGAAGGGGCAACUGGAAUUCUCGGUGUAGCGGUGAAAUGCGUAGAUAUCGAGAGGAACACCUGCGGCGAAGGCGGGUUGCUGGGCUGGCACUGACGCUGAAGCGCGAAAGCUAGGGGAGCGAACGGG